AGGGUCUGGUCUGGUCUGAGAAAGGAUUAUGCAUCAGCAAAGAAAAUGGGCUUAAGAUACGGUAAUCAAUGACAAUUUAAGAAAUUGACUUCAACAGCCACCUCUAAAUUUCAGAAUUUUGAUUUAUCUAUUACAGGUUUGCUCAAGGUCUUCGUUUGCGGCAAGUGGACAUGCUACAGGAAGGGAUAACUGGGAGCUCUGCAACCCUGAGCAAACUUGCUGACAAGAUGCGGAGAGUUUGCAAAUCUGCGAUGAAGAGAAUGAGGAGGAGAGGCAAACAAGCUGUUGGAAGAAGAGGAGAACUCGUUAUGAUCGAUGAAAGCAAAUUUGGCCAUAAAAGAAAGUAUAACAGAGGACGGGCCUGUAACCGAAGUUCAUGGGUGUUCGGAAUGCUAGGCCUCAAGGAUGACAGAAGGAGACCCAUUCUUAAGAUUGUGCGCCACCGUUCAGCAGGCCAUCUCAUGCCCCUUAUAAAGAAGCAUGUUCGACGGGGCAGCUCCAUUAUUUCAGAUGGAUGGAGGUCUUAUCACCAUCUUCAGAAUGAAGGUUAUAAUCAUCUGACUGUGAACCAUCAGGAAUAUUUUGUCGACCCCAUUACAGGUGCACAUACACAGAACCUGGAACGUCUUUGGGGUGUUUGCAAGUCAACUAUAUGGAGACUAAGAGGGAACCGCACUCAAAAUAUGUUGAAAGAUCACUUAGAUGUAAUUGAGUGGACCUACUGGCGUGGAAACCAAUACAAAGAUGGACCACUAGGAAUGCUGUUACAUGACAUUAAGAAAAAAUAUCCUGUGAGAAAUGCAUGAGUCCUGUACUAUACUGUUCAUAAUGCGAGUUCAUACAACCAUUACAUUUUUUUUGGAUUGAUUCACUCUGGAUGUCUUCUUUACAUUUUUGGAAUUUAAAACUUUGUAGAAGGGAAGGGAAC
RNAcentral lists this long non-coding RNA (928 nucleotides) under Gadus morhua (Atlantic cod). RNAcentral's name for it is "lncRNA (ENSGMOG00000031986.1)". The record is from RNAcentral. Lineage: Eukaryota; Metazoa; Chordata; Actinopteri; Gadiformes; Gadidae.